RNAcentral lists this small RNA (64 nucleotides) under Salix viminalis (osier). The record is from RNAcentral. Lineage: Eukaryota; Viridiplantae; Streptophyta; Magnoliopsida; Malpighiales; Salicaceae.
UGUUGGUGAUGAAGCGAUUUGUGAUAGAAAUGGUCCAAGGCUUUGGGCCAUCGGGACUAGAACA